RNAcentral lists this ribosomal RNA (253 nucleotides) under uncultured bacterium. RNAcentral's name for it is "partial 16S ribosomal RNA". It matches the Rfam family "Bacterial small subunit ribosomal RNA", at positions 524 to 776 of the family's 1533-position model. The record is from RNAcentral.
UACGUAGGGACCAAGCGUUGUUCGGAUUUACUGGGCGUAAAGGGCGCGUAGGCGGCUUGACAAGUCACUUGUGAAAUCUCCGGGCUUAACUCGGAAUGGCCAAGUGAAACUGUCAUGCUAGAGUGCAGAAGGGGCAAUCGGAAUUCUUGGUGUAGCGGUGAAAUGCGUAGAUAUCAAGAGGAACACCUGAGGUGAAGACGGGUUGCUGGGCUGACACUGACGCUGAGGCGCGAAAGCCAGGGGAGCAAACGGG